CAUCUUCUGGCCUGCGCACUCCUACACACAUGUGACGUGCCCUGCCACACACACAAAAGAGCAGGAUGGAGCAACAGAUUUCUCUUCUUUGUCUCUUGUAUAAUAUUUAUUUGAAGUGCUGUGGAUUGAAACCAGGACCUAGGGCAUUUUGGGUAAACACUGAAACACUAAACUAAAUACCUCACCCCAAUAUCUUUAUUUUUUUUAAUUUAUCCUUUGUUAAUGUUUGAAUAUGGUUAAACAUUUCAUUUAACCUAAGAGAUAGCUAGAUAUUAUAAAUAUGAGGAAAAAAGUAUACUUCACAAAACUUAAAUGAUUAAAAGUAAAUAUUGUUGGCUACUAUUUUUCUAAGCUUUUGUAUAUGUGCAUGUGUGUGUAUGUAUGAGAGACAGAGAGAGAAAGAGACAGACAGACAGAUGGACAGACAGACAGACAGAGCACAAAAAAACUUUACUUAACAUUUUUUUUCUAGCAAACACACUGAGAUCCCUAAUUCAGCUGUAGUUUGGGCCCAAAUCAAAAAAGCAGAGAGGAAGGUGGUGGGCGGCGGAUAGGAACAUCAAAGGCUGUGAAGGUGACUGUGGGUAAAGUGUUCGCCAUUCCAGUGUAGGACUGAAAUCUGGAACCUAUGUAAUAGCCAGGCAGAAACAGCAGCUGCCUACAAUGCCCAAGACAGGGUAAAAAGACAGGACCCCUGGGGCAAACUGGCUGGGUAGACUACCUGCGACUGGUGAGCUCCUAGUGAAGAAACUCUGUCUCAAUAAAUAAAGCAGGGGAGCAAUCAAGGUGGACACUGACAUCAACCUAGGACCCUCACAUGCACACACACGUACACACACCAUGCACACGCGCACACGAAAUCCAAUAAAAACUUUAAGAGUAAAGAUGUAGGGACUCUAUAGAGAUGCUGAUUCUCUGGUAUUUGUGUGUUCUGCCACUAUGUGUUUUGUUCAUAUCACACAUGAGUUUGUCUUCUUUUAUUAAACCAUUUCCUAACAUUAAGAUGCUGUCUUAGAUGUAGAGGAUACAAAUCCCUCUUGGAUUAGAACCUGCUUCCCCAUUUCUGACAGUCAGAUGUAUUGUUCAUCAUUCAUAUUCAUCCAUCUGCUGUAAGAAACUGUAACACAGGCACAAAGACAAGCAUCAGCAGGCCACCAGCCACAGGACUGUCAGUGAAGGUCAGCAGGCCACCAGCCACAGGACUGUCAGUGAAGGUCAGCAGGCCACCAGCCACAGGACUGUUAGUGAAGGUCAGCAGGCCACCAGCCACAGGACUGCCAGUGAAGGUCAGCAGGCCACCAGCCACAGGACUUCCAGUGAAGGAGCACAGGCCACCAGCCACAGGACUGUCAGUGAAGGUCAGCAGGCCACAACGCCCUGCAGAGCUCUGCCCUAUCUCCAGGAAGCACCUGGACUCAAAGGGCUGGCUUCCAUACUGAGUGCAGGAAGCCAGAAACCAGCCUAGUGCUGCCCAGUGUUUCACAGUUUUUAAAUAUUCAUCAAAGAUUGAAUUUCAUUAUAUUGUUUAUCUAUUAUAAUUUUAGCGGCAGUUUCAAGUAGCCCAGGCGGGCUUCCCACCUCUCUGAGGCCAAGGGUGAUCCUGUGUUCCAAUCCUGCUGCUUCCCUUUCCCCAGUGCUCGAGUCACAGGCAUGGACCACCUGCCCAGUUUUAUGAGGUGUUAGGGGUUGGACCUAGGACUUCAUGCAUGCUCUAGACAGGCAUCCUACCAGGCAACUACAUCAGCAUUUUUAUGAGAAUCCUAACAUACCAAUCUUUUAUUUGAAAUGCAUUUUUCAAUGACAACUAAUUCAAAAACUUGUUGGGAACCCAACAUGCGUCUUCCCGAUGGAGAACAAUCCACUCGGGACCAGUUUUAGCUUGGGGACGGCUCGUGUGAGAGUCUGGGACGAGCUGUCUCUAAGGUCUCUUUCUACUUAAACAGUUUUAUGAUUUUCAUUAAGCCAUGCUGAAGUUUAAAUCACAGCGGCACAAAUCCAAUUAAAAUCACAGCUGCAAAUGCCAGAACAAAGUCUCCAAGUCACAUGUACCUCGACAAAAACAGGUCCUCAGUGAAGCCAUUCAUCGUGUUCAAUAAAGUAGCUGGUAGCACAAGCUAGGAAGAUCGUUAAAUCUAAAUCAGGAAAUGGAUACAUUUAGUCCUGGGUAUAACUCUCUUGAGACUGGGGGAAAACAGGCGUGUGAUGUCGGUUCUGCCAUUAUCGACUGGGAGUUGCUUUCUUUUUCUGAAAUGGAAAGAUCAUGUGGGUGCUGGUGACACAUAAUCUCACAUCCCAGAGAGGAAAGUGCAAGCCCUUCCAGGACUUCACUGAGUCCUGUCAGAUCACAGUCCUAUGGCUUCCGCUGUGAUACCAUGCACAACUCUAACUGUGCUGUCUUCAGGUAUCUCAAAGCAUUCCCUGGGACCUAGCAAGAAAGUUCCAGAAAACAUG
RNAcentral lists this long non-coding RNA (2451 nucleotides) under Cricetulus griseus (Chinese hamster). RNAcentral describes it as "lncRNA (ENSCGRG00015032648.1)". Lineage: Eukaryota; Metazoa; Chordata; Mammalia; Rodentia; Cricetidae. The record is from RNAcentral.